GGUUUCCGCCCUUCAGUGCUGCAGCAAACGCAUUAAGCACUCCGCCUGGGGAGUACGACCGCAAGGUUGAAACUCAAAGGAAUUGACGGGGGCCCGCACAAGCGGUGGAGCAUGUGGUUUAAUUCGAAGCAACGCGAAGAACCUUACCAGGUCUUGACAUCCUUUGACCACUCUAGAGAUAGAGCUUUCCCUUCGGGGACAAAGUGACAGGUGGUGCAUGGUUGUCGUCAGCUCGUGUCGUGAGAUGUUGGGUUAAGUCCCGCAACGAGCGCAACCCUUAUUGUUAGUUGCCAUCAUUUAGUUGGGCACUCUAGCGAGACUGCCGGUGACAAACCGGAGGAAGGUGGGGAUGACGUCAAAUCAUCAUGCCCCUUAUGACCUGGGCUACACACGUGCUACAAUGGGAAGUACAACGAGUCGCUAGACCGCGAGGUCAUGCAAAUCUCUUAAAGCUUCUCUCAGUUCGGAUUGCAGGCUGCAACUCGCCUGCAUGAAGCCGGAAUCGCUAGUAAUCGCGGAUCAGCACGCCGCGGUGAAUACGUUCCCGGGCCUUGUACACACCGCCCGUCACACCACGAGAGUUUGUAACACCCGAAGUCGGUGAGGUAACCUUUUUGGAGCCAGCCGCCUAAGGUGGGAUAGAUGAUUGGGGUGAAGUCGUAACAAGGUAGCCGUAUCGGAAGGUGCGGCUG
RNAcentral lists this ribosomal RNA (692 nucleotides) under Enterococcus faecalis EnGen0199. RNAcentral's name for it is "bacterial SSU rRNA". It matches the Rfam family "Bacterial small subunit ribosomal RNA", at positions 828 to 1520 of the family's 1533-position model. The record is from RNAcentral. Lineage: Bacteria; Bacillati; Bacillota; Bacilli; Lactobacillales; Enterococcaceae.